This 306-nucleotide small nuclear RNA is filed under the name Erinaceus europaeus (western European hedgehog). RNAcentral describes it as "7SK RNA (ENSEEUG00000018464.1)". It matches the Rfam family "7SK RNA". Rfam says of the family: 7SK was discovered as an abundant small nuclear RNA in the mid-70s but a possible function has only recently been suggested. The record is from RNAcentral. Lineage: Eukaryota; Metazoa; Chordata; Mammalia; Eulipotyphla; Erinaceidae.
GGAUGUGAGGGCGAUCUGGCUGAGACAUUUGUCACCCCAUUGAUCGCCAGGGUUGAUUCGGCUAAUCUGGCUGGCUAGGUGGGUGUCCCCUUCUCCCUCACAGCUCCAUGUUCGUCCCUCCCGAAGCUGCACGCUGGGUCGAAGAGGACGGUCCCCGAAUAGAGACAGACCGAUCUCUAGUCGAGGGUACACGAGUAGCUGCACUCCCCUGCUAGAACCUCCAAACAAGCUCUCAAGGUUCAUUCUUGUCCUAGAAAAGAUCCAAAUUUUCUAUAGCUCUUGCUUUUCUCGUGGAUCAAUUAUGCA